This 345-nucleotide unclassified non-coding RNA is filed under the name soil metagenome. Its description in RNAcentral is "partial contains 5.8S ribosomal RNA, internal transcribed spacer 2, and large subunit ribosomal RNA". The stretch from base 1 to 121 matches the Rfam family "5.8S ribosomal RNA", at positions 35 to 154 of the family's 154-position model. The record is from RNAcentral.
GAUGAAGAACGUAGCGAAAUGCGAUAAGUAAUGCGAAUUGCAGAAUUUCCGUGAGUCAUCGAAUCUUUGAACGCACAUUGCGCCCACUGGUAUUCCGGUGGGCAUGCCUGUUCGAGCGUCAUUAUCCUCCCUCAAACCUCGGGUUUGGUGUUGGACCCAAGUUGUGUGAACAACUGGUCUUAAAGACAAUGACGGCGUCCGUGGGACCCUCGGUGCAACGAGCUUUUAGGAGCACGCGUCGAGUUUCACGGACCUUCCGGGCCGGUCUCCUUUACCAUUUUACAAGGUUGACCUCGGAUCAGGUAGGAAUACCCGCUGAACUUAAGCAUAUCAAUAAGCGGAGGA